RNAcentral lists this long non-coding RNA (2098 nucleotides) under Homo sapiens (human). RNAcentral describes it as "HSALNT0059037". Lineage: Eukaryota; Metazoa; Chordata; Mammalia; Primates; Hominidae. The record is from RNAcentral.
UCUUCCUCUUCCCUCAUCUCUGUCACCUUCGAUUGGGCUAAAAGAGGCCCAAUCCGCUAUCUCAAACAUCCAUUGGGACGCGGAAACUUCGCUCAGAGAAGUAUUAACAGGCGAUUGGUGGACAAUCCUUCCACUUCGCCCACCCCCACAACCCCCUCCCCCCGCCGCACCUUCACCCUUUCUGAAAAGGUCAAUCGUAUCUCGUUGUUCAGUGAUCCGGGAGGUGGAAGGCUAUUGGUUCAGGGAGCCCGUCAGACCGGACUGGAGUGAGCCAUGAUUGGUCGACACAGGCGCAAUCAGAGUCAAGAAAACUUUGCUUUUGACUUAUUUACAGCUAGUCACAAUUGAGUGAAGUAUACUCCUGUAAACAAAUUUGGAUUUCUCUCUCUCAAUCUGAUUUCUCCAGAAUGUGGAAACUAUUUGACAUGAGACUUCACAACCUGCUAAAAAUGAGCUUUUCUAAUAAUGUGGGACUUACCCUUCUACAAGUAAACCAUCCUAGUCAUGAGGGAUCAGAUGAAACCUGAGACCAGAGACUCAUUUUCUUCUAAAAUGAUUUCUCCAAAGGAUUUUAAAAAGAAAAAGGUUAAAAUGUGAAAGGAAAAUAAAUCUUGGGACCCCCCAAAUCUCUAAGCUAAAGGGAAAAGUCAAGAUGGGAACUGCUUAGGGCAAACCUGCCUCCCAUUCUUUUCAAAGUCAUCCCUCUGCUCACUAAGAUAAAUGCAUAUCUUACUGUUUCCUUUGGAAAGGCUAAUCAGAAACUCAGAAGAAUGAAACCAUUUGGUUUUUCUUUUAUCUACCUAUCACCUGGAAGCACCCUUCCCACUUCAAGUUGUCCUGCCUUUCUGGACUAAACCAAUGUACAUCUUACGUACAUUGAUUGAUAUCUCAUGUCUCCAUAAAAUGUAUAAAACCAAGCUGUGCCCCCACCCCCUUGGGCACAUGUUGUCAGGACCAGGACCUUGUGAGGCUGCAUCAUGGGCACGUGUCCCUGACUUUGGCAAAAUAAACUUUCUGAAUUGACUGAGACCCGUCUUAGAUAUUUGGGGUUCAUACCCGCUUGGUACUGUGUAGUGAAUGAGUUCUCACAAGAUCUGGUUGUUUAAAAGUGUAUGGCACCACCUACCUGUCUCUCUUCUUCCUGCUCUGGCAAUAUAAGACAUGCCUGCUUCUCCUUGGCCUUCCACCAUGACUGUAAGUUUCCUGAGGCCUCUCCAGAAGCCAAGCAGAUGCCAGAAUCAUGCUUCCUGCACAGCCUGUGGAACUGUGAGCCAAUUAAACUUCUUUUAUUUAUAAAUUACCCAGCCUCAGGUAUUGCUUUAUAGCAGUGCAAGAAUAGACUAAUAUAAGUGUUACAGAUAUUGAGUAGGUAAAAAUCAAUAGGAUUUAGCAGUUGGACCUAGAGACGCAGGAACUGGGGAGAUUUUUUUAAAGAGGUGAUUAGAAGAAUAAUAUUGUCAUCAUGGAAAUUAGAAAGUUAGGUUUAUUGGUGAAAAGUUGGUGAAUAAUCUUCUAGAUAUUUUGAGUUUAAUGUACUAAUGAGGAACAAGUGGAGAUCUCCAUCAUGCACUUGGAAAUUUAGGACUGGAGCUGGGAGACAAGUGGGGCCAGAAAUAAAGGUAUGCUCCUUCUGCUCUCAACCCACCAUGGCCGUUUAGUGGGAUCAGUAGAAUCCCUGCAAGUAAGUGUCUGGAUUUAGCAAAAUAGCAUGGAAGAACAAACUGAUGCCAGAACCUACGAACUGACAGCAUUUAAGGGGUGGGAGGGAAAAAGAAAAAAGCAGAUGUGAAAAGAGAUCAGGAAACUUAGGCAAGUCAAAUAAGAGAAAAUUAUUUCAAGUGUGAACUUCCGUAUAUAACGUCUAUGAUUUAGGCCCAGUUUAUAUCAAGAACUUAAGAAAGAAAAUUGGAAAAAUAAAUAGGGCUUUAUGUAUUUUUAGGACUUAUGAUGAUGAUUAUGAUAUAGAAUGAAAUAAAGUGUGGGUCAGGAGCAGUGGCUCACGCCUGUAAUCCCAGCACUUUGGGAGGCUGAGGUGGUGGAUCACAGGUCAAGAGAUCUAAAUCAUCCUGGCCAGCAUGGUGAAACCCAUCUCUACUAA